CGCUGAAACCACUUCAGUUGAAGCAUCCUUCAUAGAGUCACACCCUCCAUUACUGAACAAGAAUCCUUCUUUCAUGGGGCUCUGAGUAUCUCAUGUCAGCCAAUACUGAUUCCACAUUGUUUUGUAAAUGAAUAUGCAAACGAAAAAGGGGAUGUUAAAAAUGUUAAAGUGUAUUUUCUAGAAAUUAUGUUAGCUUUUAUUUUAUUUUAUUUGAAGUGAUGCAAUGAGUGUUAUUUGUAAUAUUGUGUAAUGGGAAGUUGUAGAACUAAUAAGUAGUUGGUAGUAUUUUUAUAAAUAGGUAGUUAUUGCUGUGAAAAGUAUUCUGGUAAAUGGGUAGUUUAAUUUUAAUUGUAGGAACCUCUAUUUCAAAAAGAGGUAUGUGGUCGGAUACUUCGAUUUCGCCAUCUAGGUGAUCCGGAUCUAGGUGAUCGGGUAAUACGUGUCUCGGAUUCAGAAGACUUAGGACCUGAAAUCGCUCUCUCGGGAACCUUGUUCACAAAACAAAGGCAGGUGCCCAAUUAGUGAAAGAGGAAUUUACUCGUGAGGUGGGGACUAACCUCACUUGGGUCCGUAAUUUACUUGGGCUGACUCACGUUGGCGCUCUCUUAGAUCAUGACAGAAAGCCUUCCAGCUGCUUCAGCUAGUUAGGAAUCGCCUCCCUUGACCUGCAACCUCCCUGUUUUCUACACAACACUAUCAUGUUAACUUGCAAGACUAGUAGGCUGAAGGACCCACCCUUGUCUUAGGGCAAUGCACAUUCAUAUGGCAGAGAAGAUGAGAAGUUAUGAUGAUGAAGAAGAAGGUUCGAAUAAAAAAAGAAAAGAGAAGAUGACUUGAUAAGGGGACGAGACUAGCAUGAUACCUGGAUCAGUACAGUGACCAAGUUGGAGUGGUAGCAAGACGAGCACGGUAACUCAAACCAAUGGGCAUAGUACACAGGACCAGCACGACGGCAAUACAACUCGACAGCCAGACCGCUAUGACAGUGCUAGACUAAGUAUGUCCUUUAGUCAAGCAAGAAUGAGGAGAAAAGAGAAUGAAGAGAAGGCAUGAUAUGACGAAGAGGGAGGGUCCCGAUGAUGUUAAGAUCGCCACCCACUGCCGUCAAGUACCAAUGUCGCGGCCCCUAAAUGGUGUUGGACACUGCUACUCACGGCGAAAGGGGUAGGCAGUGAACUUCAGAUAGCGUUAGGCAUCAUCGUUGGCAACACGAGAAUGUAGCACAUCCCUCUGCGGGUUGUGAUAGCUUCUUGUGAAGCGCACGACAAUAGGAGAGGGAUGGGAGAGAAGCGUGCAGACGGCGAUAGGCACUGAGCGCACAAAAGAAGCCCGCGGAUGGCGAUAGGCAAUGAGCUCAUGAAAGUAGCUUGCAGACAGUGAUAGGCACCGAACGCAUGAAAGAAGCUUGCGGACGGCGAUACGUAUCACCGUCUGCGAUAGGCACAGGAUGUACGAGAGAAGCUUGUGGACGGCGAUAGGCAUCAUCGUCUGCGAUACGUGCGAGACGCAAGAGAAGCCUGCGAACGAUGAUAGGUAUUGUCGCAUUGCAGGUGGCGAUAGGCAUCAUCGUUUGCGAUAGGCGUGCAACAGGAUGAGACCCCUGCAGGCGGCAAUAGGCAUUGCCGUCUGCGCUUACGCAGGACGUUGAGGAUACGUCUGCGGACAACAAUGAGUAGCGCCAUUUGUGAACUUCGUUGAGAGAUAGAGACAAAUAAAGAUAGGANNN
RNAcentral lists this long non-coding RNA (1726 nucleotides) under Amborella trichopoda. RNAcentral's name for it is "long non-coding RNA (ATRI_LNC004390)". The record is from RNAcentral. Lineage: Eukaryota; Viridiplantae; Streptophyta; Magnoliopsida; Amborellales; Amborellaceae.